UGCAGUCGACGAACUCUGGUAUUGAUUGGUGCUUGCAUCAUGAUUUACAUUUGAGUGAGUGGCGAACUGGUGAGUAACACGUGGGAAACCUGCCCAGAAGCGGGGGAUAACACCUGGAAACAGAUGCUAAUACCGCAUAACAACUUGGACCGCAUGGUCCGAGUUUGAAAGAUGGCUUCGGCUAUCACUUUUGGAUGGUCCCGCGGCGUAUUAGCUAGAUGGUGAGGUAACGGCUCACCAUGGCAAUGAUACGUAGCCGACCUGAGAGGGUAAUCGGCCACAUUGGGACUGAGACACGGCCCAAACUCCUACGGGAGGCAGCAGUAGGGAAUCUUCCACAAUGGACGAAAGUCUGAUGGAGCAACGCCGCGUGAGUGAAGAAGGGUUUCGGCUCGUAAAACUCUGUUGUUAAAGAAGAACAUAUCUGAGAGUAACUGUUCAGGUAUUGACGGUAUUUAACCAGAAAGCCACGGCUAACUACGUGCCAGCAGCCGCGGUAAUACGUAGGUGGCAAGCGUUGUCCGGAUUUAUUGGGCGUAAAGCGAGCGCAGGCGGUUUUUUAAGUCUGAUGUGAAAGCCUUCGGCUCAACCGAAGAAGUGCAUCGGAAACUGGGAAACUUGAGUGCAGAAGAGGACAGUGGAACUCCAUGUGUAGCGGUGAAAUGCGUAGAUAUAUGGAAGAACACCAGU
RNAcentral lists this ribosomal RNA (690 nucleotides) under Lactiplantibacillus plantarum. RNAcentral describes it as "bacterial SSU rRNA". It matches the Rfam family "Bacterial small subunit ribosomal RNA", at positions 56 to 713 of the family's 1533-position model. Lineage: Bacteria; Bacillati; Bacillota; Bacilli; Lactobacillales; Lactobacillaceae. The record is from RNAcentral.